AUCCUAAACAAAAUAAAGUAGACAAGUAA
Molecule: unclassified non-coding RNA, 29 nt
Filed under: Trypanoplasma borreli
Lineage: Eukaryota; Euglenozoa; Kinetoplastea; Parabodonida; Parabodonidae
Description: RPS12 guide RNA
Source: RNAcentral